CACGUCGCAAAACAGCUGCUUCCUCCACAGCAGGUUGAGGCCGUGCAGCAGGUUGUCGCUGUGGCUGGGGUCGAAGGUGGAGGUCCUGUCCCCGGAUCUGGACAUGGCGAGCUGACUCGGUGCACCUGGCUUUAAAUCCUCCUCCAACCUGGCAGACAGGGGUGGGGGAUGGGAGCGAGGGGAGCAGGGUGGUGGAGGGGGUGGGGUGUGGUCGGGGUGGGGAAGGGUGUGAAGGGGAGGGGAGGGCGGAGAACGAGAAUCAAGGCUCAGCUCGGCUCCCUCCGGGCGCGCUCCGGACCCCGACCCUCGGAGGAAGGUCCGAAGACGCUGGAUCCGUGAGCGCCACCAGAAGGGCCCAGUCCGGGGUCCCGGCGCCGGUUCUGCUCCCUGCGACUCCUCUCGCCACCUCCCACACACUUCGUCCCUCACUUUCCUAAAACCACCUCAGCUGGGCUCUUGGCAGCAACAGCAGUGGCAGCAGCGACGGCAAAGUGGCGGCUGAGGCCGAGGCACCUCGUGGGCUCGUGUCCAUGCCGGGCCGGAUGAAGGGAAAGGCUGGGGAGUGGGGAGCCGGGGGUGCCCUGAAAGCUCAGAGGCGACCGACGGCGAAGGUUCCAGGUCGACUUGUGCCAGAAGCUUUGCUUUUCGCGGUUGGCCCAGUUUGGGGGAGGGGGUAGGAACGGGAGCCCGACAAGCGUGCGGGAUGGGCGAAUCUUAGCUCUCCAAAUGCUGGGACCCCCUUCGAUUAUCCAUGCUGCCCCAAGAAACUCCUAGGCUAAUAGUCUGAGGGAGGAGAUAAAGCCCUUUCUUCUCCCGGGAAAGUGCAGCGGAGCGCGGUGAGGACCCGCUCAGUGGACUCGGCAGAGGCAGGAGCUGUCCUUAUCAAUUCGAGCUCAUUUCCCUCAACCCGGCCCUGCCCGCUUCCCUGCUUCGCAAACUGUUGGCUUCCCCGUCACCACUCAGUUUGGCUAAUUUUCCAGAGACGCCUUUAAACCUGGCAGGAGAAUCCUUCCACCACCCCCACCCCCACCCGGCGGCCCCCUCUCCCGGGUCUCCCUCAUUUCAAAGGGCAGAAGUUCAGGCAUCUAUCUCCCCUUCCAGCUCGGGGCGGCACCAAGGACCCAGGGGAGGAAGUGGGGCUGCUGGGGCGCGUUUGGAGCGGGAUCCGGGAGCUAGGGAGGUUUCUCCCUCCCGGGCACCAGUCGCAGUCUCUUUAACUCCAGUAACUAUGAGAAGUUCAAGUUAGAAGGCAGGGCUGAGCAGAAAGGGACCCUCUGUUCGCAUCCCGCCCGCGCGCCCGCCCGCCGGGGAGAGCCGCCGCCGCCGCCGCCGCCCGGCUCAGAGGGAUCCCGCCGGACCUGCCCCUUCCACUGCGGCUCACUCUGCCCUGCCUGGCGCCAGUCCUGGAUCGCCGGCUUCCUAUUUAUACCGGACUGGGCUCCUUUCGACUCACUUUACCAUCCUGUUCCAGGCUGGCGACUUCGCUGCUGAGCUGAAACUGCUAAUUUCUGUGACCAGCUUUUUUCUUAGCUGUGAUCUGGAUGAAUGAGUAGCUGUCUCACAGAGAUGACAAAAAUAAACUCUAAUCCCCCCCAAAA
Molecule: non-coding RNA, 1598 nt
Organism: Saimiri boliviensis boliviensis (Bolivian squirrel monkey)
Lineage: Eukaryota; Metazoa; Chordata; Mammalia; Primates; Cebidae
Source: RefSeq, a predicted model, not a curated record